UGUCUGUAGCCCAAUAUGCAGCUCGAUUUGUUCAACUAUCUAGGUUUACCCCUUUGAUGGUCACCUCGAAAGCCAAAAGGCUAAAAAGUUUCUCAAAGGCCUUCGUACCAGCAUUUAUGACUGGGUCGCGAUGCUGAGACCCAGCUCAUAUGCAGAGGUGCUUGAACAUGUCUAGUUAGCCAAAGAUCUUAUCUCGGCUAAGCACCAAUGCUUUGCAUGAGUUCGAGCCCAACAACAGCCCCAACAACUUAGAAGAUUA
This 259-nucleotide long non-coding RNA is filed under the name Carica papaya (papaya). RNAcentral's name for it is "long non-coding RNA (CPAP_LNC005679)". Lineage: Eukaryota; Viridiplantae; Streptophyta; Magnoliopsida; Brassicales; Caricaceae. The record is from RNAcentral.